RNAcentral lists this unclassified non-coding RNA (391 nucleotides) under soil metagenome. RNAcentral's name for it is "partial contains 5.8S ribosomal RNA, internal transcribed spacer 2, and large subunit ribosomal RNA". The stretch from base 1 to 122 matches the Rfam family "5.8S ribosomal RNA", at positions 35 to 154 of the family's 154-position model. The record is from RNAcentral.
GAUGAAGAACGCAGCGAAAUGCGAUACUUGGUGUGAAUUGCAGAAUCCCGUGAACCAUCGAGUCUUUGAACGCAAGUUGCGCCCGAAGCCAUUAGGCCGAGGGCACGCCUGCCUGGGCGUCACACGUCGUUGCCCCCCCAUCUACUCCUUCGGGAUUGCGGUGGGCGGAUGAUGGCCUCCCGUGCGCCUCGUCGCGCGGUUGGCAUAAAUGCCAAGUCCUCGGCGACGCACGCCACGACAAUCGGUGGUUGCGAAACCUCGGUUGCCCGUCGUGUGCGGUCGUCGCGCAUCGAGGGCUCGAAAAAAUUGCCGGGCUCCGGCUCGGCUUUCAACGCGACCCCAGGUCAGGCGGGGUUACCCGCUGAAUUUAAGCAUAUCAAUAAGCGGAGGA